GUUGAACCCGAAUGUGUGGAAGGCGCUCC
This 29-nucleotide non-coding RNA is filed under the name Homo sapiens (human). The record is from RNAcentral. Lineage: Eukaryota; Metazoa; Chordata; Mammalia; Primates; Hominidae.